This 254-nucleotide ribosomal RNA is filed under the name uncultured bacterium. Its description in RNAcentral is "partial 16S ribosomal RNA". It matches the Rfam family "Bacterial small subunit ribosomal RNA", at positions 52 to 334 of the family's 1533-position model. The record is from RNAcentral.
CACAUGCAAGUCGAACGAAGCCUUCGGGCUUAGUGGCGGACGGGUUAGUAACGCGUGGGAACGUGCCCUUCACUACGGAAUAGUCCUGGGAAACUGGGUUUAAUACCGUAUACGCCCUUCGGGGGAAAGAUUUAUCGGUGAAGGAUCGGCCCGCGUUAGAUUAGAUAGUUGGUGGGGUAAUGGCCUACCAAGUCUACGAUCUAUAGCUGGUUUUAGAGGAUGAUCAGCAACACUGGGACUGAGACACGGCCCAG